This 454-nucleotide ribosomal RNA is filed under the name uncultured bacterium. RNAcentral describes it as "partial 16S ribosomal RNA". It matches the Rfam family "Bacterial small subunit ribosomal RNA", at positions 28 to 507 of the family's 1533-position model. The record is from RNAcentral.
GAUGAACGCUGACAGAAUGCUUAACACAUGCAAGUCAACUUGAACUUCGGUUUGGGUGGCGGACGGGUGAGUAACGCGUAAAGAACUUGCCUCACAGCUAGGGACAACAUUUGGAAACGAAUGCUAAUACCUGAUAUUAUGAUUAUAUGGCAUCGUAUAAUUAUGAAAGCUAUAUGCGCUGUGAGAGAGCUUUGCGUCCCAUUAGCUAGUUGGAGGGGUAACAGCUCACCAAGGCGAUGAUGGGUAGCCGGCCUGAGAGGGUGAUCGGCCACAAGGGGACUGAGACACGGCCCGUACUCCGACGGGAGGCAGCAGUGGGGAAUAUUGGACAAUGGACCGAGAGUCUGAUCCAGCAAUUCUGUGUGCACGAUGAAGUUUUUCGGAAUGUAAAGUGCUUUCAGUUGGGAAGAAAAAAAUGACGGUACCAACAGAAGAAGUGACGGCUAAAUACGUG